UACGUAGGCAGCGAGCGUUGUUCGGAAUUACUGGGCGUAAAGAGUGUGUAGGCGGUGCUCUAAGUUCGGUGUGAAAUCUCCUGGCUCAACUGGGAGGGUGCGCCGGAAACUGGAGUGCUUGAGCGUGGGAGAGGAAAGCGGAAUUCCUGGUGUAGCGGUGAAAUGCGUAGAGAUCGGGAGGAACACCUGUGGCGAAGGCGACUUCCUGGCCUGUUCUUGACGCUGAGGCGCGAAAGCUAGGGUAGCAAACGGG
RNAcentral lists this ribosomal RNA (253 nucleotides) under uncultured bacterium. RNAcentral's name for it is "partial 16S ribosomal RNA". It matches the Rfam family "Bacterial small subunit ribosomal RNA", at positions 524 to 776 of the family's 1533-position model. The record is from RNAcentral.